CCUAAGGUAGCGAAAUUCCUUGUCGGGUAAGUUCCGACCUGCACGAAUGGCGUAACGACUUCCCCACUGUCUCGACCAGGAGCUCGGCGAAAUUGCAGUACGAGUAAAGAUGCUCGUUAAGCGCAGAAGGACGAAAAGACCCCGGGACCUUUACUAUACCUUGGUAUUGGCGUUAGGCGCGGAUUGUGUAGCAUAGGCGGGAGGCUUCGAAGCGUGGGCGCCAGCUCAUGUGGAGCCGCAAGGUGAAAUACCGCUCUGUUCUCGUUUGACGUCUAACCUCGACAAGUCAUCCUUGUCAGGGACAGUGCCUGGCGGGUAGUUUAACUGGGGCGGUUGCCUCCCAAAGAGUAACGGAGGCGCUCAAAGGUCCGCUCAGCCCGGUUGGCAAUCGGGUGUCGAGUGUAAUCGCACAAGCGGGCUUGACUGCGAGGACGACGGUCCGAGCAGGGACGAAAGUCGGAGAUAGUGAUCCGGUGCCGGCGCACGGGCGCGGCAUCGCUCAACGGAUAAAAGGUACUCCGGGGAUAACAGGCUGAUCAUUCCCAAGAGUCCAUAUCGACGGGAUGGUUUGGCACCUCGAUGUCGGCUCGUCGCAUCCUGGGGCUGGAGCAGGUCCCAAGGGUUCGGCUGUUCGCCGAUUAAAGCGGCACGCGAGCUGGGUUCAGAACGUCGUGAGACAGUUUGGUCUCUAUCCUCUGCGCUCGUUGGAAUCCUGAGGAGGCCUGCCCAUAGUACGAGAGGACCUGGGUGGACGAACCUCUGGUAUGCCGGUUGUCGCGCCAGCGGCACGGCCGGUUGGCUACGUUCGGGAGGGAUAACCGCUGAAAGCAUCUAAGCGGGAAGCCUGCUCCAAGAUAAGCAUUCCGUGGAACCUUCGAGUUCCUGUAGUCCCCAUGCAGAACACGUGGUCGAUAGGCCGGACGUGGAAGCCCCGCAAGGGGUGGAGCUGACCGGUACUAACGGGGGAAAGGCAAUCAUAC
Molecule: ribosomal RNA, 980 nt
Filed under: human gut metagenome
Description: bacterial LSU rRNA
Rfam family: Bacterial large subunit ribosomal RNA
Source: RNAcentral